Molecule: ribosomal RNA, 460 nt
Filed under: uncultured bacterium
Lineage: Bacteria
Description: SSU rRNA
Rfam family: Bacterial small subunit ribosomal RNA
Source: RNAcentral
AGAAUCAACGCUGGCGGCGUGCCUAACACAUGCAAGUCGCACGAGAAAGGGGCUUCGGUCCUGAGUACAGUGGCGCACGGGUGAGUAACACGUGAAUAAUCUACCUCCGAGUGGGGAAUAACUGAGAGAAAUCUUAGCUAAUACCGCAUAACACUUACGAGUCAAAGCAGCAAUGCGCUUGGAGAGGAGUUCGCGGCAGAUUAGUUAGUUGGCGGGGUAAUGGCCCACCAAGACGAUGAUCUGUAUCCGGCCUGAGAGGGCGCACGGACACACUGGAACUGAAACACGGUCCAGACUCCUACGGGAGGCAGCAGUGGGGAAUUUUGCGCAAUGGGGGAAACCCUGACGCAGCAACGCCGCGUGGAGGAUGAAAUCCCUUGGGAUGUAAACUCCUUUCGAUAGGGAAGAUAAUGACGGUACCUAUAGAAGAAGCCCCGGCUAACUUCGUGCCAGCAGCCGC